CAGCUCAGCCGACAAUAAAUUCAAUGGAGUUUAGCUGCAGUACCAUACACAACCUGUGCACAGGGGUGGCGCUGUUUAUGGAAGAAAGCAGCCAUGUUUUUCCAGUUCUGUAUC
This is a long non-coding RNA of Bufo bufo (common toad), 114 nucleotides long. RefSeq lists it as uncharacterized. Lineage: Eukaryota; Metazoa; Chordata; Amphibia; Anura; Bufonidae. The transcript has 3 exons. The record is from RefSeq and is a predicted model, not a curated record.